ACGUUGUCAAUAAACUGGCUGCUCAUUCGCUUGGCGGUGUUGGUACUAACCAUAGAGCCCUGCCAUUGGACGCAUACACAGAGGAAGAACACGGCGAUAUUGCUGAGCAAUCUAAUCGUGCACCAGGCUCCGAAAUGCGAGCGGCUGUCCCGAGAGCUGGACCAGUUCGCCAAGCAGCUGACUCUGAGCAACACCACGUUCUCCGCGCUCGGAGUCUACACCCUGAAUCGGAAGCUCUCAGCAGCGAUUCUCGGUGGCGUCACAACGUACAUGGUUUUUAUUAUACAGUUUCAAGCGAUUUCAAGUGGUUAAUGUAUU
This is a long non-coding RNA of Cydia splendana, 318 nucleotides long. RefSeq lists it as uncharacterized. NCBI's taxonomy places the organism in Eukaryota, Metazoa, Arthropoda, Insecta, Lepidoptera, Tortricidae. The record is from RefSeq and is a predicted model, not a curated record. The transcript has 3 exons.